GCCCUUUAUAGUCAAUUUUUAACAAUUUUCAUAAAAUUUGGAAAUUUUUACUAACAUUUUCCACUAAAACUACUGGGCCAAGUUCAAUAUAUAUAGAGAUAAUUGUAAGGGAUGACAUCAAAAGUUCAAUGAAGGAUACAAAACUUAAUUCACAUAGUUUUUUCACUGACCCCCCACACCCCUCCUAACUUAAUUUGGAAAAAUUGAUUGACCAAUAGGGAUAUUUGUAAAAUCGAUUUUAGAUUAACAAAACUUGCAGCAAUGUUGACCCCC
RNAcentral lists this long non-coding RNA (273 nucleotides) under Mytilus galloprovincialis (Mediterranean mussel). Lineage: Eukaryota; Metazoa; Mollusca; Bivalvia; Mytilida; Mytilidae. The record is from RNAcentral.